AGAUAUGGCAGGCGUCCGGGUAGCCCUACUAUCUUUGUUCGUAGUGUUGGUUUUAGUUAACUGUAAAUGUACUAAGCCUCCUUGCCCACCCAAAGAGUGCAAUAGCAAGACGACCAUUUGUUACGACAGAUCAAAUUCAGGAGUGUUUAUUCCUAUGAAGCGUCAAGAUAAUUCCGGUGAAAUGAACCCACUAACAACGUAACGUCACAUACACAAAUUAGGCCUACAGCAGUAUCGAAAUGGAAAGGAAAAUGUUAAAUCAAAAUCGUUAUUAUUAUAGCAAAUUAUAGCACAAUCAAAGCGACAUGUAGUGACUAAUAAUGUUUAUGAUUAGGCCUAUAAAUAUAACUUAAAACGUUAUAUAUCUGGAAGAAAACUUACCUUUGAAGCUUUUGACUAUCACUGUAGUUUUGUUCACAAUGAUAUAUAAAGAGAUAUAUAUGAGAUAUAAAGUUUUAAUUUUUAUUUAUAAUUGUCAACCUGGAUAGAUGAAUCUGCAUCAGUCAAUCUUUAUGAUAUUAACAUAAAUUUUAGUCCCGUCUCUUUUGAGUUCGGCGAGCUUAAUCAUAUAAAUCCAGAACGCAUCUACGAUUUUUUUGCACAAGUUUGAAAUAAAUAGCAGACAAUAGUCAUGCAUUGAGAAAAUAA
This is a long non-coding RNA of Anneissia japonica, 648 nucleotides long. RefSeq lists it as uncharacterized. The record is from RefSeq and is a predicted model, not a curated record. The transcript has 2 exons. NCBI's taxonomy places the organism in Eukaryota, Metazoa, Echinodermata, Crinoidea, Comatulida, Comatulidae.